AUUAAUUUAGGAGGGCAAAUCCGCUGAAAUUUAAAACUGCUAAAAUAUAAUUAAGCGGAAGAAAAGAAAAUAACUAUGAUUCCUUUAGUAACAGCGCGUGAAAAAGGAUAAGCUCAAUUUAGAGAAUCCUUCGAUUUUUUUUUAAAAGAAUUGUUGGAAUUGUUUCUUUUUUUUAUAUAAUAUACUCUAUAUGAUAACUGUUCUUUGGAUUAUAUAUUACGUAAUGUGUAUAUACAUCUAUUUUACAGGUACACAAGAGCAAGGAUAUUAAAAAAUAUAUAGGAAAUAUAAUGGAAAAUUGUCCCAAAGAGGGUGAAAGGCCCGUACUUGUUUUUAUAUCUACCUUGUGCUUAAAUUAGAGUUAAAAAUAAAGAAUGAGUUGUGUUUUAUGAAUAUGGGACACUAAUACGUGUGAUACAUUUCACAUAAAGCUAAAUAUGUGUAGGAGACCGAUAGCAAACAAGUACCGUAAGGGAAAGAUGAAAUAGUACUCAGGAAUGAGAAAUUAAAUAGUACCUGAAAUCGUUAAGGUGGAAAGGAUUAAGAGCGUGAAAACGUAAGGAAAUUAUUAAAAGUAUAUAUAUACACGUGCGCAUAUAUAUAUAUAUAUAUAUAUAUGUGCAUGUUUUAUUAUGUAUAAGAGAAAACUUCACCCCUUUCUCUUUGGUAUUUUCCUUAUUAUAAUAAACAAAAGUGAAUGAAAGAAAUUUUGAAGAUUAAAGUAAUUUUUUAAAAAGAUUAAAGAAUUAAUUAUAUAUAUAGUAAUAAAUUUUUAUUUAUUUUUAUUUAUUUUUAUAUAAUUAAUUUUUUUUUUUUUUUUAAAAAAUAUGAAUGAAUGAAUGGAAAACACUUUUUUCUGAUUAAAAACAUUUCUAUUUACUUAGGAAUAAAAAAUAUAUGUGUAAAGGUAGAAAGUAUUUAUAUUUUUUGUUUUUACAUGUGUAUAAGUUGUUUAUAAAAAAUACUCUCUUAAACCGACCGUCUUGAAACACGGACCAAGGAGUCUAUCAAAUAUGCAAGUGUAUAUGUUUAGAGGAAACAUGUGAAUAUUUUGUGUACGCGCUUGGAUGUUCAAAAUGUGUGAUAUAUGUAAUAAGCGUGCACAUAUAUAUAUAUAUAUAUAUAUAUAUAUAUAUAUAUAUGUAUGUAUGUAUGUAUGUAUGUGUGCGCUUUUUAUAUAUUUUCAUUUUCUUUUGAUUUGUAGAUUUUGAUAUGAAGUGAAAAAAAUAAAAAUGGGAAAAGAAAUGAAAAUAGAAAAAUUAAUUUUUUUUUGUUUUUGUUUUUUUUUUUCUUUUACUUUUUUGUAUAUUUUUUAUUUUUCUUAUUUUUCAUUUCAAUGCAUACAGAUUACUUAUUAAAAACACAAGAAAAAUUAAAAUAAAAAUUUAACAUGUUAAGAAAUAUCAAUUUUUUUUUUUGUUUCUUUUCUAAAUUUUUUUUUUUUUUUUUUUUUUCUAUUAUGUUUUUAACUAAGUAAAGAGUAUAUUUGAUAGGACCCGAAGGGCUUUGUACUAUACAUGUAAUUAAAAUUAUUGAGAUAUGAGAGUCUUUUUAUAUGGAUAAAAGAGUGUUAUUCUUAAAUACAUAUUUAUCAUUAAUUUUUAGUGAUUAAAGAAUAUUUAAGAAUCCUUUUUUUUUUCUAAUAUAUUACAUUGUAGGAAAUAUAAAGAAUGAAAAGCCUUAUAUUAGCUGGUUAUUUUCGAAAGAUCUCUCGAGAUCACUGGAGUUGAUUUUGAUAUAUUUUUAUCGUACAAGAUAAAUUAAAAUAUAUAUAUUAUAUAUAUAUAUAUACACAAUGUUGAUAUAAAAGAUCUAAUUGUGAAUUUUUUUUUAAAUUUAUAUUUUAAUUCUUCUUGAUACUUUGGUAAAAAGUGUAAAUAAAAUAAAUAUAUAUAAGUUGUAUAUAUAUUAUUUUAUUUAUAUAAAAAUAAGAUAACUCCAAGUGUACCAUUUUUUAUUAAAAAAGAAAUUGGUAAUGAGGGAUGCGCCUAAUGCUUGGAUAAGGUGCCUAAAUAUUCGCUUAUGAGAUUCUGUUUUAAAAUAAAAGGUGUUGGUUCAUGAUAACAGUAGGACGAUAUUCAUGGAAGUUGAAAUUCGCUAAGGAGUGUGUAAUAACUCACCUGCCGAGUGAACUUGCCCUUAUAAUGGAUGGCGCUAAAGUGAAUUACCGAAACCAAGCCAUAAAAAGAUAAAGAAAAAAAAAAAAAUUAAAAAAUUUAUAAUCAACUGGGGAGAAAAGGUGUAUAAAGAAAGAAGGAAAGAAAAUUUUUUUUUUUUUUCGUUUUUCUUUUCUUUUUUUCCCUUUUUGUUUGUUUGUUUGUUUUUUUUUUUAAUUUUCUUGUUUUUUAACUUUUUAUGUGUAGAAAAUCGUGGGGUUUUUUGUAUGGAAGCGAAAUACGUGAGUUUUCGUGGAACAUCUCCCCAGUGCAGAUCUUGGUGGAAGUAGCAAAUAUUUCAAAUGUAAUAACUUUGAAGACUAAAGUGGAGAUGGGUUUCUUGUAUAUAGAUUUAUUAAUUUAAAUUUUCAAGAGUUAGUCGCUUGCUUAUGAGUUUGCUACUUUUUUUUUUUUUUUGUUUUUAUGAGGUUUCUUCAUUUUUUUGAAGAGAUAAGAAAAAGUUUGGCAUAUGUGACAAGGGGGGGUAUGUGUUACGAUCGAACUUGUAUCAACCUGUACUCUAUUAUACUAAGAGAGGGCAUACAUUUAAUCUCUGACACCUGUAAAUUUUCCUCUACUCAAAUAAAAGUAAACAGGUUAAUAUUCCUGUACGUUCAUAAAGAUUUAAGACUGAACUGGUAACAACUUUGAACUCCAAUAUAUAGUAGCUACCUUCGGAGUGCGUAUUUUUGAAUUAUAUUCCUUUAUAAUUAUUGCACAUGAAAAAAAUAUAUAGCUAGGCCUAUGUCUUAAAUGCAAGAGUCGUAUACUUAGAAUGGCUUAGCACAGCGGUCGGCAUAUUAAAAUUGGCAUUUAGAGAGAAGAAUGAAAUUUAUACAUAUAUAAUUUAUAAGAUCAUAGAUUUUAUUUUUAUAAUAACUUCUUGUUCUGUAUUUUAUAUAUGAAAAAUUCAUUCUUUUUUUUUUUUGUAUCAUUUGUAAUUCUAUUAAAUAUUAGGGAUUACCCGAAUGUGUAGUUACUACUAAGGAAAUUGGAGGGAUAUCACUUAUAAGUUUUAAAAGAUAUAAUUUGAGUUUAUAUUCUUUAAUUCAUUAUUUGAACAUUCUUGGUUUUUAUAACAGCGUACCUACAUAACCGCUUGAGGUCUCCUGGGUUAACAGCCUCUAGUUUAUAUAGAUUGUAUAAUAGCAAAGGAAGUCGUCCAAUAUACAUUCAAAUGUAUAUAUGUAUAUGUAUAUAUAUAUGUAUAUAUUUGAGUGUCCUAAAUUUAGGGAAAUAAAUUUAUACUGAGUUAUAUGAUAGGAGUAAAAAGUAAAUUAUAGAGAAGAGGCGAAAAAUUAAAGAAAGAACGAGAUUAGAGUUAUUCUUCGGCAUAUUAUGUAAAAUUUAUAGGUAUGUAUGUGUAUAUGUACGAGACAAAUAAUAGUUUCUACGUAUAUAUAUAUGUAUGAGACAUUUAUCUGUUGUGUAAUAGUUACGUUACGUGUACAUGCCUAUAUUUGGUUUAUACGUAUGCUUAAAGGCUUUCUUCUUUUUUUUAAUUACUUCUUUAAUUUUUAUUUCCCCCCUCUUUUCAAUUUUCAAUAUAUAUAUAUAUAUAUAUAUAUAUAUUGAUAUUAUAUAUUUACUGUUUAGGUAAUAUACACUCAGUAUGACGUACGGAUAAUGUUUGGGAGUUUAUAGGUUUUUUGUCAUUGUGAAUGAAAUAAAAGGUUAUAUAAUAUUUAUAUUAUAUGACCUUAUCCUAUGUAUGCAAAUAUAUAUAUUAUAUAUAUGUAUGUUCUAUACAUAUAUAUAUGUAUAUAUAUAUCCUUGUUAUAUUAUAGCACGAUGACACUUCCUUCCACGUUCCUAGUAAGUCGAGUGUUUGAAGUGCUUCGAUUGCGUCCAAAGGGAGGGGUAGUUGUAAUGAAGGUUUAUUAUUUAUAUAAUUUUUAUAUUUUUAAUAUUCCUAAUUUACAACCACAAUUAAUCUUUGUCAUGUAAAAGUGAGAGGAUUAAUUUUUUUUUUUUAUACAUAUUUCCCUAUAAGAAUUGUAUAAUCCCCCACGACAUAUACCUUACUAUAUUUUAUCUAGCGAAACCACAACCAAGGGAACAGGCUUGGUGAAAUCAGUAGAGAAAGUAGGCUAUUAUUACUGUUGAAUAAUUUAUUAUUUACCCAAAUUUGUAUCUUUGUAAAACUACUUAAGAGGUGUAGCUUUAUAAGUGGGAGUAAUUGAAAAAAUAUAUAGAAAGAAAAAUGAAGAGGGCAAAAAAAAAAGGAGAAGAAGAACAACAACAAAUAAGGAAAGAAAGAAAGAAGGAAAGGGGAAGAAGAAGGAGGGGGAAUAAAAAAAAAAAAAGAAAUGAAAAUAAAAUUAGUAUUUAUAUAUUUUUUUUGUUUUCGUUUUUUUUUUUUUUUUUUUUUUUUUUUUUUUUUUUUUUUUUUUUUUUUUUUUUUUUUUUUUGUUUGUUUGUUUUGUUUUUCUUGUUUUUUUUGUUUUGUUUUUUCUUCUUUUUUCUUUAUAUAUAUUUUUUUGAUUUACGCAAUUGUGAAAUACCACUACUUUUAUGUUACUUUUACUUAUCCAUUAGGAAAAUGUAUAAAUAUAUAUAUAUAUAUGUUGUUCAUAUAUUCGUAUGUGUUACAACUAUAUUAUAUUUAUGUAUGUAUAUUUAUGGAGACAGAGUGUACAGUUUGUGGAGUUUAUUGGAUAAAGUUUUAAGUAUUAAGAAAAACGGAAUUUUUUUAUUUUGCUUUUUUUUUUUAUUUUUAACUUUUAAUCCUUAUUUAUUUAUUUAUUCAUUUUAUUUUUUUUUUUUUUAUACAUAUAUAUAUAUAUAUAUAUAUAUAUAUAUGUGUAAUUAGAGGAAGAAUAAAUACAAAUAUUUGGAUAGUUGCAAAAUAUAUAUAUGUAUUAUAUAUAUAUGUAUAAAAAAAAAGGAAAUAAAAUAAAUAAAUAAAUAUAAAAAUAAAUGUUUUUGGAUAAUAAUAACAGGAUGUAUUAGUUAUAUACUUGUGGCUGCCGAGCGAUAUUUUUAGCAACGUAGCUUUUUGAUAUGAGAAUGUUGGCUCUUCCUAUCAUUGAGAAGAAGAAAUCUCAAAGUGUCGGAUUGUUCAACCGUUAAAAGGGAACGAGAGCUGUAUAAAAAAAAUUUUUUUUUUUUUUAAUAACCAUCACGAGAUAGGUUAGUUUUUUACUCUACUGAAGAAUAAUAAUUAUAUUUAUAUAUUAUAUUGUUCCAGUAAUCGAACUAAGUACGAAAGGAAUAGUUUGGUCAGACAGUUAAUUUAGCUUUCGGUUGAAAAACCAACAUAGCAACUAUUUUAUGUCUGUUGUGAUAAUAGCUGAAAGCAUCUUAAGCUAGAAUCCAUUCUGUAUAUACAAUAUAUGAUUAUUUUUCUUUGUCUUGGUAAUUUUUUUUUUUACUGUUAAUGUAAAAAGAGAACAUAUAUUAUAUUACAAAAGCAUUUUUAUAAAUGUAUUUAGAAAUAUAAAUAAUCCAUUUUAUAUUAAAAUAUGUAUAUUAUAUAUAUAUAUAUAUAUAUAUAUGUGUGUGUACGUAUUUAUAAUAUUUAUUAUUUAACAACAAAGAAAAUGAAAGAAAAACUGUAGACGACUUUUUUGCCUCGGAGUGCUGUAACCAUGAUAGUAAACAAUUUUAAGUUUUACUAUUUGCUGAGGCUUAUC
RNAcentral lists this ribosomal RNA (5791 nucleotides) under Plasmodium reichenowi. RNAcentral's name for it is "28S ribosomal RNA". The stretch from base 1994 to 2179 matches the Rfam family "Eukaryotic large subunit ribosomal RNA", at positions 1174 to 1352 of the family's 3401-position model. Lineage: Eukaryota; Apicomplexa; Aconoidasida; Haemosporida; Plasmodiidae. The record is from RNAcentral.